This 356-nucleotide ribosomal RNA is filed under the name Jassidophaga villosa. RNAcentral's name for it is "partial 12S ribosomal RNA". The record is from RNAcentral. Lineage: Eukaryota; Metazoa; Arthropoda; Insecta; Diptera; Pipunculidae.
UAAUGUAUUUAUUUAGUUAUUUGAGUAGUAUUAGUUAUGAUCUUGAAACUUAAAAAAUUUGGCGGUAUUUUAGUCUAUUCAGAGGAACCUGUGUAGUAAUCGAUAUUCCACGUUGAAUCUUACUUAGAUUUGUUUUAGUUUAUAUAUCGUCGUUAUAAGAAUAUUUUUUAAAAAUUAAUAAUUUUCUAUAAUUUUUAUAAAAAUUUAUAUCAGAUAAAGGUGUAGCUUAUAUUUAAGUUUUAUUAUGGGUUACAAUAAAUUAAUUUAAAUGGAUAUAAAAUUGAAAUAUUUUAUUGAAAGUGGAUUUGAUAGUAAAAUAAUAUAGAUUAAUUAUUUGAUUUUAGCUAUAAAAUAUG